CAAUAGCGUAUAUUAAAGUUGCUGCAGUUAAAAAGCUCGUAGUUGCAUUUCCGAGGCAAGGGAUUAGUCCGACCUUUGGUGGGUAUUUAAUCCUCUUGCCUCGUCCUUGAGUGGUGCUUCUUGGUAUUAAGUUAUCGAGGAGAUAGCCGCUCAUCGUUUACUGUGAGAAAAUUAGAGUGUUCAAAGCAGGCUUAUGCCGUUGGAUAUAUUAGCAUGGAAUAAUAAGAUAGGACCUCGGUACUAUUUUGUUGGUUUGAGAACCAAGGUAAUGAUGAAUAGGGACAGUUGGGGGUAUUCGUAUUCAGUUGUCAGAGGUGAAAUUCUUAGAUUUACGGAAGACGAACUACUGCGAAAGCAUUUACCAAGGAUGUUUUCAUUAA
RNAcentral lists this ribosomal RNA (380 nucleotides) under uncultured eukaryote. RNAcentral describes it as "partial 18S ribosomal RNA". It matches the Rfam family "Eukaryotic small subunit ribosomal RNA", at positions 592 to 976 of the family's 1831-position model. The record is from RNAcentral.